RNAcentral lists this transfer RNA (76 nucleotides) under Desulfotomaculum sp. RNAcentral describes it as "tRNA-Lys". It matches the Rfam family "tRNA". Rfam says of the family: Transfer RNA (tRNA) molecules are approximately 80 nucleotides in length. Lineage: Bacteria; Bacillati; Bacillota; Clostridia; Eubacteriales; Desulfotomaculaceae. RNAcentral also lists the same sequence under 2 other names. The record is from RNAcentral.
GAGCCAUUAGCUCAGUUGGUAGAGCACCUGACUUUUAAUCAGGGUGUCGUUGGUUCGAGUCCAACAUGGCUCACCA